CUUUUAGAUGAUGAGACAUCUAUAUUAUGCACUGAUCAGCACUAUCUGGCAUCUCUUAGCAGAGAGCUUGGUGAUGGAUUUGGCGUCAAGAUUAACUUCUCUUGGGUCAAGGAAGGAUCUCUCCACAGAUAACAUCCAGUUUGGCUCUGCACUGAAGGACAGAAGAGGCUCAAGCUCUGAUUGAGAACUCAAUCCCAGCCCAUGUAAGCAUGGACUCACAUCAAAACCGUUUGGACACUAGAGGGCUUGCCUUAUUCAGUGAACAGGAUAGACCUGCUUCACAUGUGGGUCACCUUACUGCGAAGAAAGCUGUUCUGUAUACGACACUGCCUUAUUAAUUGUAGAGGUAGGUGAAUCACAAAUGAGUUGGGAGACUGGAAGAAGAAUUGAAGGGUGACACUUCUUCCCCUGGGAAUUAAAUUCAUAACUUAAAAAGUCGGCUGGCUGGCUAUUGACAGGUAUCUGAACAAGCUCCUAAGCUCACCUCAAUUAAAAUUGU
Molecule: long non-coding RNA, 499 nt
Organism: Cuculus canorus (common cuckoo)
Lineage: Eukaryota; Metazoa; Chordata; Aves; Cuculiformes; Cuculidae
Exons: 3
Source: RefSeq, a predicted model, not a curated record